Molecule: unclassified non-coding RNA, 235 nt
Filed under: plant metagenome
Description: partial contains small subunit ribosomal RNA and internal transcribed spacer 1
Rfam family: Eukaryotic small subunit ribosomal RNA (bases 1-46)
Source: RNAcentral
AAGUCGUAACAAGGUUUCCGUAGGUGAACCUGCGGAAGGAUCAUUACCGAGUUUUGAAUUCGUUCAACCUCUCCACCCUUUGUGAACCAAAUUGUUCAACUUUGGCGAGACGCCUUGGUUUUAACGAGCCAAGCCGCUGGCAAGAAAUUGCGAGUGUGUGUUCGUCAAAGGUCAAGUACAAACCCUUUUUAUUCUGUUGAAUGAUGUCUGAGAGAAGAGAAAAAGAAAAUCAAAA